RNAcentral lists this long non-coding RNA (1320 nucleotides) under Marmota monax (woodchuck). The record is from RNAcentral. Lineage: Eukaryota; Metazoa; Chordata; Mammalia; Rodentia; Sciuridae.
GAGUGUCCUCAGGAGACAGACCAAGGAAGACGCCGUUGGUGAUGGCCUCAACGCAGUGGUGACCUCAUCGUCAUGGGAACGAGACCCGGGGGGGGGGGCUCCCCGCAAUCCGUGACCCUCCGUGUCGUCAAUUGAAGGCAGGCCCUGGGCACACCAAAGAACCCGGGCCGAUGAUGGCUUCCGACUGAGUUUCAGAAAGAAAAUGACAAGCUCCAGGCUUUACACUCUUUAAACGCUCAGAUCAAAGUUUCCUUGGAGAACCAGAGAUCCACGGGGGCCCUAAAGAAAUGUCCUGCCUUUGGUAGCGACAGAGAAGACACAGUGGGAAAUCAGCUCCAAAUGGAAUCCAGCACUGCAGCCUGACCCUGUGGGCGGCAGUUACAAGGUCUGCUGAGCCCCAGAUCCCACCCACGAAAUCAACAGGGCAUUGCCCGAAAACAAGAAGGCGAAUCUGAGCACCUGGAGCCCACAAAUCCCCCCCUCCAGCCCCCACACCCCUGCUCAUCCCGGCAGCCUCUGGUCUGUGUUUGGGGAAAUGAACUCGCCCUCCCCUGAGAUCCUCAUGACAGAUGCAGAGGCCACGGUUCCUACCGCACUUAGGUGUCCUGGGCGGGAGGCAGGACGAACUUGGGAAUGACCGACCUUGAGCGAUCAUCAACUGGCCCAGGGGGUGGCUGCAGAUGCACCUGCUAUUCCAUAUCUUUCCCCAGAAGUAAAAGUCAGCACAGCUCUUGGAACUGCGGGCGACAAUUAUUGUUCUGGCAACUACCAAAAGGAGCUGCUUUAACUCAGCAGGCCCAGCAGGAGGCCCGUCUUCCCUCGGGCUGGGUCAGCUCCCCUGCUAGGACAUAAUCCAGGCUGGAGGGACUUGGCCACUUAGCAUCACAAGCCACAUCAUGCUGAUCCGCCAGCCGGAUGACAUCCUGCAGACUGGACCUGAUGACAUCCUGCAGACUGGACCUGAUGACAUCCUGCAGACUGGACCUGAUGACAUCCUGCAGACUGGACCUGCGGAGCAGGGAUGGGCUUCAGCUGAGAAGAAGGCAGGGCAGGUUCUGGGGUCUGACAUUCUGGGGACUCCUGGAUAUCACGGCCUUCCCAUUAGAGGCACGGCCCUCUGCAGGCUUCCUGGAUCUUGGAAGCAGCAUAACCCACAUAACUCCACCUUAGUGUGUGAUGCUGCAAACAAUUUUUACAGAUUGCAAAUCUGUAAAACUGAUGAUUUGGAGUGAGACCCAAGGUAAGAAAGGCCCUGCAGAAAGACCAGGCUGUGUGUUGGCCACUCUGCCCUGGGCCUCAGGCCCGAGCAGUUAAUGAUCC